GUUGCUUCAGCUACACAUAGACUAAAAUUGGAAUGACACAGAUUAGAUUAGCAUGACCCUUGAGCAAGGAUGACAGGCAACUUCACAAAGCGUUCCAUGUUUUU
This 104-nucleotide small nuclear RNA is filed under the name Carlito syrichta (Philippine tarsier). The record is from RNAcentral. Lineage: Eukaryota; Metazoa; Chordata; Mammalia; Primates; Tarsiidae.